Vicia faba (fava bean) is the source of this 273-nucleotide non-coding RNA. Lineage: Eukaryota; Viridiplantae; Streptophyta; Magnoliopsida; Fabales; Fabaceae. The record is from the annotation of a GenBank genome assembly.
AUGGAUCUCUCAAUGAAGAUGAUGAAUUCGACGGUGGAGAAACGAUCGGUAUCGUUUGCCAUGCAAAAUCACGGUCAGUUUCAGUUUUGGGAGGCGUGUGGUGGCCUCUGGCCGGGGUCGCAAGGAAUCGACGAAGGAAGCUGUUGGCUUCACGGUUUCUUGGAGGUUGUCGAAGAGGGAAAGGGGCAGAGGAUGUUGUGUGUGAUAAACAAAGGCGAUGCGAAUUUGAUGUGGUUGUUGCUUCUGAACGAGAGAGUUUUCCGCGUGCUUUGA